This 390-nucleotide unclassified non-coding RNA is filed under the name soil metagenome. RNAcentral describes it as "partial contains 5.8S ribosomal RNA, internal transcribed spacer 2, and large subunit ribosomal RNA". The stretch from base 1 to 122 matches the Rfam family "5.8S ribosomal RNA", at positions 35 to 154 of the family's 154-position model. The record is from RNAcentral.
GAUGAAGAACGUAGCGAAAUGCGAUACUUGGUGUGAAUUGCAGAAUCCCGUGAACCAUCGAGUCUUUGAACGCAAGUUGCGCCCGAAGCCAUUAGGCCGAGGGCACGCCUGCCUGGGCGUCACACGUCGUUGCCCCCCCAUCUACUCCUUCGGGAUUGCGGGGGGCGGAUGAUGGCCUCCCGUGCGCCUCGUCGCGCGGUUGGCAUAAAUGCCAAGUCCUCGGCGACGCACGCCACGACAAUCGGUGGUUGCGAAACCUCGGUUGCCCGUCGUGUGCGGUCGUCGCGCAUCGAGGGCUCGAAAAAAUUGCCGGGCUCCGGCUCGGCUUUCAACGCGACCCCAGGUCAGGCGGGGUUACCGCUGAAUUUAAGCAUAUCAAUAAGCGGAGGA